RNAcentral lists this ribosomal RNA (390 nucleotides) under Sphingomonas sp. oral taxon F02. Its description in RNAcentral is "bacterial SSU rRNA". It matches the Rfam family "Bacterial small subunit ribosomal RNA", at positions 29 to 446 of the family's 1533-position model. Lineage: Bacteria; Pseudomonadati; Pseudomonadota; Alphaproteobacteria; Sphingomonadales; Sphingomonadaceae. The record is from RNAcentral.
AACGAACGCUGGCGGCAUGCCUAACACAUGCAAGUCGAACGAGACCUUCCUGGUCUAGUGGCGCACGGGUGCGUAACGCGUGGGAAUCUGCCCUUGGGUACGGAAUAACAGUUAGAAAUGACUGCUAAUACCGUAUAAUGACUUCGGUCCAAAGAUUUAUCGCCCAAGGAUGAGCCCGCGUAGGAUUAGCUAGUUGGUGAGGUAAAGGCUCACCAAGGCGACGAUCCUUAGCUGGUCUGAGAGGAUGAUCAGCCACACUGGGACUGAGACACGGCCCAGACUCCUACGGGAGGCAGCAGUGGGGAAUAUUGGACAAUGGGCAAAAGCCUGAUCCAGCAAUGCCGCGUGAGUGAUGAAGGCCUUAGGGUGUAAAGCUCUUUUACCCCGGGA